Molecule: long non-coding RNA, 10688 nt
Filed under: Homo sapiens (human)
Lineage: Eukaryota; Metazoa; Chordata; Mammalia; Primates; Hominidae
Description: non-protein coding KLHL7-DT:10
Source: RNAcentral
AAUGAGACUGCAGGCACAGGUGCGGCCGGAUUCCCUGUCGCUGUCCCGCGCUGAGUGAAUUUUGCCUCGGAGCUGGUCCGAGGUCGCGCCUGCUCUUUUGUGUGCCCAAGGCAGAUUUCCAGGUUUCGGUUACGUGAUUAUCUUUUUUUUUUUUUUUUUUUUGAUAAUUGGGUUGUGGAACAUGCAAAGGUGUCUCCCAUCAGUGUAAGGCUUCAUGGGACAGGGUCGGUGUUCAGUGCAGUAUCUGAGCCUGGUGUAUGGUAGGCGCUCAAUAAAUAUUAAAUGAUGAAAGGAUAUUACUGCAAGUUAAAGUCAUGUUACACGGAGCACAAGAUUUAUUUUCGUGGGAUUCAUAACGCAAGAGCACACAGUCCCGUUGGUGUCUCCUUGGCGUGCAAUGAAUGUCUGCCUAACUAGGCUGGCUUACUGUGUGUUUACAACUGAAAUCAGUUGUCAGUCGGUUCUAGAAAUCUUCAGUUAGGCUUCUCUAAGUGUUUUACGGGAACACGGAACUCAAUCACAGCCCUCAUGGAAAUGUUUUUUGUAACCAUAUUCUUUCUACUGUAUAGUAAUAUACAGGAUUAUUUGAAAUUGUACAUUAUUUAACAUUAUGAAAACUUUAUAUCUCAUUGGUUUUCCUCCUCGGUCUAUAUAGGACUAUACAGAGACAUUUUAUGUAAAAUAAUUUACACCAUUGAGGCUUUUUUUUUUUUUUUUGGAGGCAGGGUCUCGGCCCUGUCGCCCAGGCUGGGGGUGCGGUGCAGUGGCUAAUCAUAGCUCACUGAAGCCUCAGCACUCCUGGGCUCAAGCAAUCCUCCCAUCUCAGCCUCCCAAGUAGCUGAAACUACAGGCGUGCAACACCACUCUGGGCUAAGUUUUAAUUUUUAAAUUUUUUUGGUGGUGGUGGUGGUGGUGGUGGUGGUGGUGAAGAGGUCACACUAUGUUGCCCAGGCUUGUCUCGAACUCCUGGUGUUAUGCAAUCCUCCCGCCUAGGCCUCCCAAAGUGCUGGGAUUACAGGAAUGAGCGGCCAGGCCUGGCCCACAGUAUACUUUUCUUGUUGAGGACAAACCAUAUAGCAUAAUCCAGAUGAAAGAGCAAGCUAUAUAUACGCCUCAAUUUUUACAAAAGAGUAAGAUACUUAUGUCUCUGUACUCUUUAUCUUUCUUCUAUUAAUCUAGAGGUUCUCAGAUGUGCCUCUAUUUUAACUAGUUGAUUUGGGGAUUUCAGGUGAACCCUGGCAAUAGGAAUAAUUUAUUGUUAAUAAAAUUAUAAAUGAGAAAAUUUUUCAUUCACUUUAUUAAAUGACCCAGGACACUGAAGAAAAACGGAAUAAAUUUUUUUCUUUUUUUUUUAAUUGAAAAGAAGUAGAAAUCUGUCUUCUAACUCUAAGGCCUUGGGAGAUGAAGGAUCCGUGAUUCAAAGGCAGAAAUGUAAGUGAUGAAAAAGAAUGCUGUCCUGUAAUAAGGCAAAAAAGAAACGAGGAACAGCAUCCUUAGUCCUUGAUGUUAGAACAGUCUUUUUACAUAUUGCUGAAUAUAAAACAUCAAAGUUCAUGGAAGAGCCAUAGGAUUCAGAGCUCAAAGAGGCCACAGAGAUUAUAUAGUACAGGGAUUAAGCAUGAGACUUUGCCUGGAUGCAAAGUCAAACAUCUCAACUUUCUAGUUGUGCAACUUUGGGCAAAUUGAUUAACUUCUGUUAUGCCUCAGUCUCCUUAUCUGUGAAAGUAGAACCUACUACAUGGAACUGGCGUAAGGUUUAUAAAAAUGCUUAGAGGGGUGCCAGCACAAGACACUUAAAAUUACUUUACUGAGUUAAUAAUACACACAUACUUCAGAGAUAUUUUGGGUUCUGUUCCAGACCACCACAUAAAGUAAAUAUCGCAGUAAAGUGAAUCACACAAAUUUUUUGGUUUCCCAAAACAUAUGCAAGUUAUGUUUACACUAUACUGUGGUCUAUUAAGUGUGCAAUAAUAUUAUGUCUGCAAAAGCAAUGCACAUACCUUAAAAAGUGCUUUGUUGCCAAAAAGUUGCUAAUGAUCAUCUAAGCCUUUGCAAGUUGCAAGUUUUAAAUUUAUUUUUAUUUUUAUUUCUUUUUUUUUAAGAGAUGGAGUCUUGCUGUGUUCUCCAGGAUUGAGUACAGUGGCUUAUUCACAGAUGUGAUCAUACUACACUACAGCCUCAAACUCCCGGGGUCAAGCAGUCCUCCUGCUUCAGCCUCCUGAGGAGCUGGGACUACAGGCCCACAUCACCAUGCCCACUAGAUUCACAGUCAUUUUGCUUGUGGAAGGUCUUGCCUCAAUGUUGAUAGGUGCUGACUGAUCAGGGUCAGGUUGCUGACUGAUCAGAAUGGUAGUUUCUGAAUGUUGGGAAUGGCUAUGGCAAUUUCUUAAAAUAAGACAACAAUGAAGUUUGCUGCAUUGAUUGACUCCCUUUCACAAAGGAUUUCUCCAUAUCAUGCAAUGCUGUUUGAUAGCAUUUUACCCAUAGUAGAACUUCUUUCAAAAUUGGAGUCAAUUCUCUCAAACCUUGUCUCUGCUUGGUCAACUAAGUUUAUGCACUAUUCCACAUCCUUUGUUGUCAUUUCAACAAUAUUUACAGAGUCUUCACCAUGAAUAGAUUCCUUUUCAAACAACCACUUUCUUUGCUCAGCCAUAAGAAGCAACUCUUCACCCAUUCAAGUUUUAUCAUGAGAUUGCAGCAAUUCAGUCACAUCAAAUUCCACUUCUAAUUCUAGUUGUUUUUCUAUUUCCACCACAUCUGCAGGUACUUUCUCCACAGAAAUUUCAAACCUCUCAAAGUCAUCCGUGAGGGUUGGAAUCAACUUCCAAAUUUCUGUGAAUGUUGAUAUUUUGACCUCCUCCUAAUCACAAAUGUUCUUAAUGGCAUCUAGAAUGGUGAAUCUUUUCCAGAAGGUUUUCUAUGUGCUUUGCCCAGUUCCAUCAGAAGAAUCACUGUCUGUGGUAGCUCUAGCCUUAUUAAAUGUAUAUUUUAAAUAAUAACACCUAAAAAUCAAAAUGACUCCUUGAUCCAUGGGCUGUAGAAUAGACAUUGUGUUAGCAGUCAUGAAAACAAGAUUAAUCUCCUCAUAUAGCACCAUUAUAGCUCUUGGGUGACCACGUGCAUUGUCAAUGACCAGUAAUAUUUUGAAAGGACACCUUUUUUUUUGAGCAGUAGGUCUCAACAGUGGACUUAAAAUAUUCAGAAAGCUGUGUUGUAAACAGAUGUGCUGCCAGCUAGGUAUCGUUGUUCCAUUUAUAGAGCACUGGUAGAGCAGAUUUAGCAUAAUUUGUCAGGACCCUAGGAUUUUUGGAAUGGUAAAUGGGCACUGGCUUCAACUUCAAGUAACCAACUGCAUUAACUCCUAACAAGAAGAGUCAGCCUGUCCUUGAAAGUAUGAAAACAGGCAUGGACUUCUCCUCUCUAGCUAUGAAAGUCUUAGAUGGCAUCUUCUUCCAAUAGAAGUUGUUUCAUGUACAUUGAAAAUCUGUUGUUUGGUGUAGCCACCCUCUUCGAUGAUCUUAGCUAGAUCUUCUGGAUAACUUGCUACAGUUUCUACAUCAGCACUUGUUGCCUUACCUUACACUUUCAUGUUAAGGAGAUAGCUUCUUUCCUUAAACCACAGGAACGAACCUCUGCUAUCUUCUAGAUUUUCUUGGGCAACUUCCUUACUUCUUUCAGCUUUCAUAGAACUGAAUAGUGUUAGGAUCUUGCUCUGGGUUAGGUUUUGGCUUAAGGGAAUGUGGUAGCUGGUUUGAUUUAUUUAGACCACUAAAACUUUCUUCAUAUCAGCAUUAAGGCUGGUUUGCUUUAUUAUCAUUUAUGUGUUCACUGGAGUAGCACUUUAAAUUUCCUCCAAGCUUGUUUGCUUUUCACUCACAGUGUGGCUGUUUGGUGCCAAGAGGCCUAGCUUCCCAGUCUUGGCUUUCAACAUGCCUUCCUCACUAAGCAUAGUCAUUUCUAGCUAUUUAUUUAAAGUUAGAGAUGUGCAACUCUUCUUUCACUUGAACACUUAGAGGCUAUUGUAGGGUUAUUACUUGGCUUAAUUGCAAUAUUGUUGUGUCUGGAGGAAUAGAGAGGCCUGGGGACACAAAGAGAAAUGGGGAACAGCUGGUCACUGGAGCAGUGAGAACACACGCAACAUUUAUUGAUUAAAUUCGCUGUUUUAUGGGCUCGGUUCAUGGUGCUCCAAAACAAUUAUAAUAGUAACAUCAAACAUCACUGUUCACAGGUCACCAUAACAGAUAUAAUGAUAAUGAUAAUAAUAAUAAUGUUUGAAAUAUUGCAAGAAUUACCAAAAUGUGACUCAGAGAAACAAUAAAGUGAGCACAUGCUGUUGGAAAAAUGGUACUGAUAGACUUGAUCCAUGCAGGGUUGCCACAAACGAUUAAUUUGCAAAAAAAACAAACAAAAGAACAUGCAGUAUCUGUGAAGCACAAUAAAGCAUACUGCAAAUAAAAUGUGUGCCUGUCCUGUAUUAACUUUGUUACUAUUUAAUCUAGCAUUUCCCAAAAUGUGUUUCUUGGAAUACAACUAGUCUUAUGAUUCCCCUAACCUGAACUGGUUCUCUGGGAAUGCACCCACAGGAGGAUAGGUCCUUGGGUGAUCUUGGCCAAUCCAGCUCUCCCUGCAACUUGUAGUUCUCAGAAUAACCGAGAAUGCAACUUUCUGAGAUAGAGAGGUGAUGUCCAGAAUAAUCCAUAUUGUGUCCUUGUUCCUCCCAGAACAGGGUGUACUGCAGCGCUUGUUCUCAGUGAUCCUAGUGCCACCUAGAGUAUAAAACCCAGAGCACAGUGCUUUCAGUGUCCCUCAGCUGCAGUGGAAUGUGGAGCACACACAGAUAAGACCCUUUCCACACUCAGCAGCUUUCUUGAGCCUUAGAGGACUGGCUUGCUGUGGAUCCUAGGCUUCUAUUUAUUCCUGCUGCUCAUCUAUCUGUGCAUAGUAAAUCUUUGUCUAGCCUGUGUGAGUGUUCUGUCUCUCUCACCAGACUCAUGCGAUUGGUAGAGAACCUUUGCGACAAUUUUGGGAGACAUGUAAAAUAUAUCCUUGGUGAAAAAUCCCAAAAUAUAUUUGCAUAUUAAGUGUUUAGAGAAGGUUUUCUGUACCUAUUACUUAAACCUAUUGAACUUUUCUAUAGUCCAGUACUUCUUGAAGUGUCAACUUAGCCAAUUCCCAUUUUCUGUGAGUUGCUUACUCCUCUGUUCACCCACAGGAGGGAUUCCUAAAGCUGUACCUAUUCUGUGGGGCUUUACCUCUACCUGGUCUCAGUUUAUUGGAUUAAGGUUGAACACCUAAACCAAAGAGACCCAAUUAAUAAGCUGAAGUAAAGAGCAUCAUGUUCUCUUUGGACACUGGACAGAUGGAUGUUGAUGAGCUUGUGUGCAGCAGUUCUACUGGAAGUAUGUACAAGGGGCUCAGCCAGCCAAUUUGGACGGUGUAUGUGAUAAGCAGAGAAAGGCAGCAGUCUGCAGAGACUGCAGAAUGAAAAAAAAAAAAAAAAAAAAAAAGCAGAAACCCAGAGAGAAAUCAGACAAAAGACCAGGUGGUGGGCAGGGGUCUGGGGAUUAUCCAAGCUUAAAAUUCAGGGUCUCUAAACUUGAACAGCCUGAUUUCAAAGCUGUGGGCCUAGCAAUGUGUUCACAUAGCAAUUUGGCUUUGUAAAAUUUAUAAAAGUAAGAUAUUUUAACCACAAUAGCUUGAGUCUAUUGUCUCAUUUCACCCUGAUUUUCCCUCUAUCAUACUUUUUUUUUUUUUUUUUUUAACUAUCUGGUGGUGUUGAAAUUGCCAUAUAUAUCUUUGGGAACAAAUCACAAAUUGAACUGAGGAUAUAUUUUUUGGCAUCUAGCAGGAUAUAUAUUUGUAGAUCACAGUUACUUCCAUACAGUUAAGCUAUUUCCAGCCCUUGUAAUGUAAGAAUGGCAUUCAGGAAUAGUCCCUAGUCCCACUGUGCCAACCCUAUCUUGUGAUGCCAAAGAUGCAGGGCCUGAGAUCUCCUAAUAUGUCUUACAGUAACCAGCACUGAAAGUAUUUAAGUAGUGGAGGAGAAGCAAGUUUUAAACAGGUUUCAUCAGCUAAGCCACAAGCUGGUCUAUGGAAAAUUCUUCAGUCAUCAAAUACGUAAAAUUUUAAGCAGAAGGUUGGUACUCACUUCCAAUCAGAAGUGGAAGGAAUAUAUAUGUCAUGCAUUUUUUUUUGAGACAGAGUCUCACUCUGUUGCCCAGCAUGGAGUACAGUUGUGCAAUCUUGGCUCACUGCAACUGCCACCUCCUGGGUUCAAGUGAUUCUCCUGCCUCAGCCUCCCAGGUAGCUGGGAUUACAGGUGCCUGCCACCAUGCCUGGCUAAUUUUUUUUUUUUUUUUUGUAUUUUUAGCAGAGACGGGGUUUCACUAUGUUGGACAAGCUGGUCUCCAACUCCUGACCUCUGGUAAUCUGCCUACCUUGGCCUCCCGAAGUGCUGAGAUUACAAGUGUGAGCUACCAUGCCCAGCCAGUCGUGUGUAUAUUUUACAAUAUGACGUAUGAAUGGUAAGUGUGACCUCAACUCCCAGAAAGGUAAAAUAAGGGCCUCUGAAAAUCUACUCCUCCAUAAAAGCAACAGGAACACUGGGAAAUUGUCAAAAUUAACUUUUUCAGAUCUCUGGAAACUAACUAAAAGCUUAUAACAAUCCAAGAAGUAGUUAUUUAAGACAAAUGGCUGAAUCUCAUAACAAUGAGACUUGAGGUGUUUUAACUCUUCCUAAUCCCUUCUCACUCUCUCUAGCUUUAUAGUAGCCUUAAAAACCAACAGCUUCACAACUAUGGUAGCUGUGAAACCCACCAGCCCACUGUCAUUGGAGAAGUCAGAACAGGUUAAGAGGUCCUCAAAAGCCUCAUCCCUAGGGUGUUUUUAGUGUUCAGCCUGUCUGGCACCUUACUGAAAAGCUCCGUUCUCAGGGCUUGUAUUUAUUUGACAUGAAUCAGAGCUCACUUUGUGCAAACAGCUCCGCCAGCAGGGAAUUUGACAAAGACAAUAAGCAGCAGUUGUUUAAUAUUGUAGCUGCCUAAGGCAGUAUUGCCAUUUAGGGCUUUCAAAAUGCUGACCUAAACACUUAAAUGGAAAAACUGAGUAUAUUAGUCAGGAUUCUCCAGAGAAACAGAACCAAUAAGAUGAAUGGAUGGAUGGAAAGAUAGAUAGAUAGAUAGAUAGAUAGAUAGAUAGAUAGAUAGAUAGAUAGAUGAUACAUACAUACACACAUGUAUACAUACAUAUGUCACAGGAUCCUUAGGGUGUUGCUUCACCAGCCAGAAACCUCUGUGGCUAGUGGUACCUUCUGCCUGAAUAUUGCUUGCACCUGCUGGACUUGUUUUGCCCACUCGGCCUGGCAAGCUGUGCUCAGCUCAGGCUACCGGCCCGGAUCCCACACCUGCCAACAGCAAACCAGGUUCAGAAUGGUGAGGAGUGUGUGGGCCAGUGAGCGUGGGGUCCGGCCACUGUGCACAGCCAGGCAGGCUGGCUACUGUGGCAAGGCAGGCAGCUCCAGGCGCCAGCACAGGUGCUGGCUCCGUGCGAGGCUGUGGCUGGUCCAAAUGUUCUGUGUGCAGAUUCUGUUGCAGACACCCACAUCUGGAUGAAGGGAACACAGUGGCACCCGGAAGCUUGGAGAUGCCAGGAACCACACAGCCCUAAAGAGGGUGUCACAGCCCUGGCUGGGGAGUCCCUAGGUCUGGGCUUCCCGAAGGGCCACAGCUCUUCUCUCCUUCUUGUUGUCCAUAACAUGGCAAGCAGGGGGGCGUGUUUCAUGCCUGUUUGUGUUAUAGCUCUUUCAGUCCUGUCAUUUGUUGGGUCUUGAGCUCUUAUCCUGAAUCCAGGAAGAAUGAGGUAAGCAAGCAAGGUGGAGAGGGCAAGCAAGGUGGAGAGGAGCUUCAUUGAGUGACAGAACAGCUCUCAGGAGACCUGAAGUGGGUAGCUCCUUUCUGCAGGUAGGUCAUCCUGAUGAGUGUCCAGCUCUCAGUGGAGAGGAGACCCAUAGUGGGUAGCUCUUUUCUGCAGGCAGGUCAUCCUGAUGAGUCAAGGAGACUCGAAUUGGAUAGCUCCUUCCCACAGCUUGUAGUCUUGAAAUCUGUGUGAGUCUGGGGUUUUUAUGGGCUUCAGAAAGGAGGAAGUGUGUGCUCAUUGGUCCAUGGGCAGCCAUGGGUGGGCCCAGGAAAAGCACCGUAAGUUCUCACUCUGGGCCACAGACUCUACCCAGAACUGGCAGCCUGGCCCCCAGGCUUCAGGCCAUUCUUGGCUCGAAGGAGGGGCUUUACUGGGGACCUGCCCCUUCCCAUCCAGGAACCUGUCUGCCUCCUGCCCUCAUCAACAUGUCAUCCAUGGCACCUUGGCUGUCCACACUGAGGGGUGUCUGCAGGCCCAUGCCAAGCUGCCCUCAGUCACUGCCCCUCCCAUCUCCCUCCCAUGCUCUUUGGCGCCCAAAGUCUGGAGGGGGCUGAGGUGGCUGGGGGCUGUUGUGUCAGCACCACCCUGAGCCCAUGUACAGCUGGCCAGGUUAUGACAAUGCCCAGGCUCAACCACAACUUUGCUCUGCCCCAGAGCAGGUGCUGGGAGCAGGGAGAGGCCACAGAGCAGGAGCAGGCACUUCCAAGCCUGCGGGAGCAGGGGAGCUUCCCAGUCCCUGAGAGCACAGGGAUGCCCAGGUCUGGAGUUGUGGCUGGGUGGCUACAGCUGUGCCCCAGAGCAUGGUGCUCCUAGCCUACCAACUUGGUAAGGCAAGGAGCUCCCACCUAUUCCUGGCCCCUGCUAGCUCUGGGGAGUGCACAGCCCCAGCUGCACUUCCCCCACUGCAGCCUGUGUCUUCACAGUGUGGCCACUCCAGAUGGUCUGCUGCUGCUAUCACAUAUACAUACAUAAAUGCAUGCAUACAUACAUACAUAAAUAUACACAGAUUUGUUAUGGGAAUUGGCUCAUACAAUUAUGGAGGCUAAGAUGUCCCAAGAUGGGUUGUCUGCAAACUGCAAAACCAGGGAAGCUGUUGGUGCAAUUAUCUGAGUACAAAAGCCUAAGAACCAGGGGAGCAGAUGGUUUAACUCUCAGUCCUAGGCUGAAGGCCUGAAAAACUGGAGGGACUGCUUAUGUAAGUCUGAGUCCAUUUGCCUGAGAAUCUGGAGUUCAUUUUUUUUUUUUUGAGACGGAGUCUCACUCUCUCGCCCAGGCUGGAGUGCAGUGGCUCGAUCUUGGCUCAUUGCAACGUCCACCUCCCUGGUUCAAGUGAUCCUCCUGCCUCAGACUCCUGAGUAGCUGGGACUACAGGCAUGUGCCGCCAUGCCUAGCUAAUUUUUGUAUUUUUAGAAGAGACAGGGUUUCACCAUGUUGGCCAGGCUCGUCUUGAACUCCUGACCUCAGGUAAGGUUCCUAAGGUCCCUCCCAAAGUGCUAAGAUUAUAGGCGUGAGCCACCACGCCCAGCUGAGAAUCUGGAGUUCUGAUGUCUGAGGGUACGAAAAGAUGGCUGUUUCAGCUCAGAGAGAGCAAAUUCAAACUUUUUCUGCUUCUUUGUUCUAUCUGUCAUCAAUGGUUUGAAUGACCUGCCUACAUUGGUGACCGCGGGUCUUCUUUACUCAAUCUACUGAUUCAAAUGCUUAAUGUCUUCUGGAAACAUCCUCACAGUAUUCCUAGAAAUAAUGUUUUACCAGUUACUGGGUAUCUUUAACCUAGUCAAAUUGACACCUUAAAUUAAUCACCACAUUAGGUAAUGAGAUGUCCAUAGUUGGCUUUGAAAACUAUGACAUAUAUUUGGGAAUCUAGAAGGCCAGGAGAAACCUGAGAAGGCCUGAAACUCUUACCUCUGGUUGACUUUUGUGGCUCUAUGCAAGCAACAAGUGACAGGUAAGGCAGAAUUAUAAGCUGCCUGCUGGAGCAUUAAAGGUGCAACCCAACACACACAUAGAACCCUUUGGCAGAGUAAAAGAAUUAUUGUUUUAAGUGAUUUUUUAUAUAAAAAGGAUUAUACACCAUGACCAAGAGGGAUUUAUCCCAGGAAUGCAAGGUUGGUUUAACAUAUGAAAAAUCAAUCAAUGUAAUAUAUAUUAUAUUAAUAGCAUAAAAAACAAAAAUAACAUGAUUAUAGAUGUGGAAAAGGCAGUUGAAAAAAUCUGGCACCCUUUCAUGACAAGAACAUUCAGUAAAUUAUGAAUAGAAGGGAACUUCCUCAACCCAUUAAAGGGCAUCUAUGAAGAACCCACAGCUAAUAUCAUACUUAAUGUUGAAAGACUGAAAAUUUUCCCUCUAAUAUUAGGAAGACAAAGAUGUCUCAUGUCUCCACUUCUAUUCAACAUUGUACUGUAGGUUCUAACCAGGGCAAUUAUGUAAGAAAAAGAAUUAAAAGACAUUAAGCUUGGAAAGCAGGAAGGAAAACUAUCUUUAUUCACAAUUGACGUUAACUUAUAUAUAAAAAAUACUAAGGAACACACGCACACACAUGCACACGCACACACACAUACACACACACAGCAUUAGAGCUAAUACAAAUUCAGCAAUGUUUCAGGAUACAAGAUCAAGAUACAAAAAUCUGUUGUUUUUCUGUGUACUAACUUAAAAAAUAAUAAAUAUGAAAAUGGAAUUAAGAAAAUAUUCUAUCAUAGCAUAAACAAGAAUAAAAUAGGAAUAAAUUUAACAAAGGAAGUACAAGGCUUAUACACUGGAAAAUAUAAAACAU